CUCGCUAGUGCGGCUUGUCCCAUCGGGAAAUAAAGCACCAGAGCGGCAAAGCCCAACUGAAGUAACAAAGCGCGAGACACU
RNAcentral lists this transfer RNA (81 nucleotides) under Vibrio parahaemolyticus. RNAcentral's name for it is "tRNA-Leu". The record is from RNAcentral. Lineage: Bacteria; Pseudomonadati; Pseudomonadota; Gammaproteobacteria; Vibrionales; Vibrionaceae.